GGGACAACUCGGAGAGGCGGCCGAGCCCCGCACGCUCCCAGCCACGCCGUUUGCAAAACAAGGGCUGAAAACCCCUAUAGGAUUAUACAAGGGGGAAGGAUCCGGAGAGGGAAGAGCGGAGGAGCUGUCAGGAAUGGGGCAGAGCGGCGGUUUUGGGGGGAGAAAAAGGACCGUGAGUCCAUCGGGCGGGAGGAGGGAGGAGGGAAGCGGAGCGGGGAGAGCAGCGAAGCCACCGCCAUCACCGCAAUCACAUCAGGCAGCAGCAAUGGAGCGGCGCGGAGUGCCACCGCUGUCACCCGCUGCCCCCCGUGACGUCUCCCAGCGCCCGGGCAGCAAAGCUGGGCUGUGGCACCUGGCUGCAGAGCCCCGACGCAGCUCGUCACACGAGGGAUGCUGAGCCCCACCGCAGAACUGCAGCGCAGCACAUGGGUGGGUGCUGCAGCUCAGAGCCCCAACACAGCUCGUGGUGUGAAGGACGCAGAGCCCUUCUGCAGAGCCCCGGCACAGCUCAUGACGUGAGUGACGCUGAGCCCCACCGCAGAGCCCCGGCGCAGCUCGUGACAUGAGGGAUGCAGAGCCCUGCAGCAGAGCCCCGACCCACCUCAUGACACGAGCGAUGCGACACCGAGCCCCGACGCAGCUCAUCACACGAGGGACACCACUCUCCCCCCACCUCCCCCCGCACGGCUUUGGGGUUUGGGCCCCCCCGGCCCCCCCUCUCCCCGCACCGCCCCAAUCGUCUGCAGCGCCGUAAUGAGGAGAUAAACAGGAAGGAGCGGGGAGCCCCGAUGGGACACAUGAAAGCAGAGCAGGGCGAUGCGUGGGGGCUUUUCUUCCCACUUCUUUCUGCUGAAUCCCACAUUUUUCCUCCUCCCCCCUCCCCUCUCCCGCUCCAUUAAUGAGGUUUUGCUGCAGAA
Gallus gallus (chicken) is the source of this 917-nucleotide long non-coding RNA. RefSeq lists it as uncharacterized. The transcript has 3 exons. The record is from RefSeq and is a predicted model, not a curated record. Lineage: Eukaryota; Metazoa; Chordata; Aves; Galliformes; Phasianidae.